This 246-nucleotide ribosomal RNA is filed under the name uncultured bacterium. RNAcentral describes it as "partial small subunit ribosomal RNA". It matches the Rfam family "Bacterial small subunit ribosomal RNA", at positions 26 to 285 of the family's 1533-position model. The record is from RNAcentral.
AGAAUCAACGCUGGCGGCGUGCCUAACACAUGCAAGUCGAACGAGAAAGUGGGAGCAAUCCCACGAGUAAAGUGGCGCACGGGUGAGUAACACGUGACUAACCUACCCUUGAGUGGGGGAUAACCUAGGGAACCUGGGCUAAUACCGCAUAAUACCUACGGGUCAAAGGAGCAAUUCGCUUUAGGAGGGGGUCGCGGCAGAUUAGUUAGUUGGCGGGGUAAUGGCCCACCAAGACAGUGAUCUGUA